RNAcentral lists this long non-coding RNA (745 nucleotides) under Equus asinus (donkey). Its description in RNAcentral is "lncRNA (ENSEASG00005032009.1)". The record is from RNAcentral. Lineage: Eukaryota; Metazoa; Chordata; Mammalia; Perissodactyla; Equidae.
CACGGGUUUAUCAUAGUUGCUGAGAUCCUACUUAAGAAUUAAUACUGCAGAUUUACGGAAGAGAAACUUGAUCUCAUGUUUAGAAGUAGAGUUGAGGAGCCAAAUGCCUCAGUGAUCCAUCCUCUAAGACUAUUUACGAGCCCACACCAGCCGAAGGAGGAAGCCUAUGGAAGACAGUGUGCUACAGAAUCUCGGGGCUUGGGGACCGAGGACCAGUGGGCGGGAGCUCAUGAUGGCGUUGGAGAUUACCUGGCUUUGGUUUGAAUCCUAGCUCUCUAACUGGUGAAUCUGCGACUCGAGAUAUCACUACAUCCAAUCGAAGGCAGAAAGCUUAUGGGUGUGAGCAUGCCAAGACAAACAAAAUCAUCCCUCCCUGCUUCUUCUGAAGGAGAAAAAUGAAACUCUUCUGAACUUCGCUGGUCACCAAGAAGAAUCACUUUAUCUCAAAGAGAUUUUUAAAAAUCAUUAUGUUAAAUAGGUUAAGUAAAGGAGCAAAACUUCAAUUUCUGUAAACUUCAUUUUUCCAUGUUAUUAAUAAUUUCUGAAGUUAUUGUGCACCUUAAAACCAGAAGGUCCUUUAGCAACUCUUGUUUCUGAUUAGGCUCAGCCCAGGAUUUGCUAGCUAGCACUUUUUAAAAAGAAAUUGCUACCAGAGAAGAAAUGUUCUCAAAUCCAAUUUCCACAAGAGCCAGGGUGGGAGAAGCCUGUGGACACCUGAAGCCUGAGUAUACUAUCAGUGUUGGGG